AGCAGCCGCGGUAAUUCCAGCUCCAAUAGCGUAUAUUAAAGUUGUUGCAGUUAAAAAGCUCGUAGUUGAAUUUCGGGAUCAGUACGCUGGUCAUGCCUUUGGUAUGCACUGGUGUCACUGGUUUCUCCCUUCUGAAGAACCGUGAUGUCAUUAAUUUGGUGUCGCGGGGAAUCAGGACUGUUACUUUGAAAAAUUAGAGUGUUUAAAGCAGGCUCACGCUUGAAUACAUUAGCAUGGAAUAAUGAAAUAGGACGUUUGACCCUAUUUUGUUGGUUUCUAGGAUCGACGUAAUGAUUAAUAGGGAUAGUUGGGGGCAUUAGUAUUCAAUUGUCAGAGGUGAAAUUCUUGGAUUUAUUGAAGACUAACUACUGCGAAAGCAUUUGCCAAGGAUGUUUUCAUUAAUCAAGAACGAAAGUUAGGGGAUCGAAGACGAUCAGAUACCGUCGUAGUCUUAACCAUAAACUAUGCCGACUAGGGAU
RNAcentral lists this ribosomal RNA (479 nucleotides) under uncultured Glomus. RNAcentral's name for it is "SSU rRNA". It matches the Rfam family "Eukaryotic small subunit ribosomal RNA", at positions 569 to 1053 of the family's 1831-position model. The record is from RNAcentral. Lineage: Eukaryota; Fungi; Glomeromycota; Glomeromycetes; Glomerales; Glomeraceae.